GCUUGUCUCAAAGAUUAAGCCAUGCAUGUCUAAGUAUGAAUGUUAUACAGUGAAACUGCGAAUGGCUCAUUAAAACAGUUAUUGUUUAUUUGAUAAUCAAAUUUACAUGGAUAACCGUGGUAAUUCUAGAGCUAAUACAUGCUGAUAUGCCUGACUCUUAGGAAGGGCUGUAUUUAUUAGAUAACAAACCAAUAUUCCUCGUGUCUAUUGUGAUGACUCAUAAUAACUGAUCGAAUCGCAUGGACUUUGUCCGCGAUACAUCAUUCAAGUUUCUGCCCCAUCAGCUUUCGAUGGUAGUGUAUUGGACUACCAUGGCUUUAACGGGUAACGGAGGAUUAGGGUUCGAUUCCGGAGAGGGAGCCUGAGAAACGGCUACCACAUCUAAGGAAGGCAGCAGGCGCGUAAAUUACCCAAUCCUAAUUCAGGGAGGUAGUGACAAGAAAUAACGGACUGAGGCCUACGCUUCAGGAUUGCAAUGAGUAGAAUUAAACCCCUUGCG
This 499-nucleotide ribosomal RNA is filed under the name Tardigrada environmental sample. RNAcentral's name for it is "SSU rRNA". It matches the Rfam family "Eukaryotic small subunit ribosomal RNA", at positions 30 to 539 of the family's 1831-position model. Lineage: Eukaryota; Metazoa; Tardigrada. The record is from RNAcentral.